This 301-nucleotide ribosomal RNA is filed under the name uncultured bacterium. Its description in RNAcentral is "partial 16S ribosomal RNA". It matches the Rfam family "Bacterial small subunit ribosomal RNA", at positions 509 to 807 of the family's 1533-position model. The record is from RNAcentral.
CAGUAGCCACGGGAAUACGAAGGGGGCUAGCGUUGCUCGGAAUGACUGGGCGUAAAGGGCGCGUAGGCGGCUCAUACAGUCAGGCGUGAAAGUCCUGGGCUCAACCUGGGGUGGUCGCUUGAGACGUGUGGGCUAGAGUGGGGAAGAGGGUCGUGGAAUUCCCAGUGUAGAGGUGAAAUUCGUAGAUAUUGGGAAGAACACCAGUGGCGAAGGCGACUCUCUGGUCUGUAACUGACGCUGAGGAGCGAAAGCGUGGGGAGCGAACAGGAUUAGAUACCCCCGUAGUCCCUGUCUCUUAUAC